UGGGGAAUUUUGGACAAUGGGGGAAACCCUGAUCCAGCCAUCCCGCGUGUGCGAUGAAGGCCUUCGGGUUGUAAAGCACUUUUGGCAGGAAAGAAACGUCGCGGGUUAAUACCCCGCGAAACUGACGGUACCUGCAGAAUAAGCACCGGCUAACUACGUGCCAGCAGCCGCGGUAAUACGUAGGGUGCAAGCGUUAAUCGGAAUUACUGGGCGUAAAGCGUGCGCAGGCGGUUCGGAAAGAAAGAUGUGAAAUCCCAGAGCUUAACUUUGGAACUGCAUUUUUAACUACCGGGCUAGAGUGUGUCAGAGGGAGGUGGAAUUCCGCGUGUAGCAGUGAAAUGCGUAGAUAUGCGGAGGAACACCGAUGGCGAAGGCAGCCUCCUGGGAUAACACUGACGCUCAUGCACGAAAGCGUGGGGAGCAAACAGGAUUAGAUACCCUGGUAGUCCACGCCCUAAACGACGUCAACUAGCUGUUGGGGCCUUCGGGCCUUGGUAGCGCAGCUAACGCGUGAAGUUGACCGCCUGGGGAGUACGGUCGCAAGAUU
RNAcentral lists this ribosomal RNA (547 nucleotides) under uncultured bacterium. Its description in RNAcentral is "partial 16S ribosomal RNA". It matches the Rfam family "Bacterial small subunit ribosomal RNA", at positions 355 to 895 of the family's 1533-position model. The record is from RNAcentral.